Molecule: transfer RNA, 80 nt
Filed under: Providencia phage PSTRCR_127
Lineage: Duplodnaviria; Heunggongvirae; Uroviricota; Caudoviricetes; Pantevenvirales; Straboviridae
Description: tRNA-Leu
Rfam family: tRNA
About the family: Transfer RNA (tRNA) molecules are approximately 80 nucleotides in length. Their secondary structure includes four short double-helical elements and three loops (D, anti-codon, and T loops). Further hydrogen bonds mediate the characteristic L-shaped molecular structure. tRNAs have two regions of fundamental functional importance: the anti-codon, which is responsible for specific mRNA codon recognition, and the 3' end, to which the tRNAs corresponding amino acid is attached (by aminoacyl-tRNA synthetases). tRNAs cope with the degeneracy of the genetic code in two manners: having more than one tRNA (with a specific anti-codon) for a particular amino acid; and 'wobble' base-pairing, i.e. permitting non-standard base-pairing at the 3rd anti-codon position.
Source: RNAcentral
GCGUCAUUGGUGGAAUUGGUUUACACAGUGGUCUUAGAAACCGUACCUUAUGGUUGUGGGUUCGAGUCCCACAUGACGCA